This 445-nucleotide ribosomal RNA is filed under the name uncultured bacterium. RNAcentral describes it as "bacterial SSU rRNA". It matches the Rfam family "Bacterial small subunit ribosomal RNA", at positions 354 to 796 of the family's 1533-position model. The record is from RNAcentral.
GUGAGGAAUAUUGCGCAAUGGAGGCAACUCUGACGCAGCCAUGCCGCGUGCAGGAAGAAGGCGCUACGCGUUGUAAACUGCUUUUAACCGGGAAGAAACCCCAGGACGUGUCCUGGGUUGACGGUACCGGAGGAAUAAGCACCGGCUAACUUCGUGCCAGCAGCCGCGGUAAUACGAAGGGUGCAAGCGUUAUCCGGAUUCAUUGGGUUUAAAGGGUGCGUAGGCGGAGCGUUAAGUCAGUGGUGAAAUCCUGCAGCUUAACUGUAGACUUGCCAUUGAUACUGGCGCUCUUGAGUGCGCUUGAAGUGGGCGGAAUGUGCCGUGUAGCGGUGAAAUGCUUAGAUAUGGCACAGAACACCAAUUGCGAAGGCAGCUCACUAAGGCGAUACUGACGCUGAGGUGCGAAAGCGUGGGGAGCAAACAGGAUUAGAUACCCUUGUAGUCC